Molecule: ribosomal RNA, 352 nt
Filed under: uncultured bacterium
Lineage: Bacteria
Description: bacterial SSU rRNA
Rfam family: Bacterial small subunit ribosomal RNA
Source: RNAcentral
UAGCCUUGACAUUGAUUGAAUACUUUAGAGAUAGAGUAGUGCCCUUCGGGGAGCAUGAAAACAGGUGCUGCACGGCUGUCGUCAGCUCGUGUCGUGAGAUGUUGGGUUAAGUCCCGCAACGAGCGCAACCCUCGUCCUUAGUUGCCAGCAGGUUAAGCUGGGCACUCUAAGGAGACUGCCUUCGCAAGGAGGAGGAAGGUGAGGACGACGUCAAGUCAUCAUGGCCCUUAUGGCUAGGGCUACACACGUGCUACAAUGGGGCGUACAGAGAGUUGCGAUACCGCGAGGUGGAGCCAAUCUCAUAAAGCGUCUCUCAGUUCGGAUUGGAGUCUGCAACUCGACUCCAUGAAGC